UUCUGAGGCCUCUACAUAAGUCCCUACUCUGGACCAAAAUUUAACAGUCCCAUCUGAGGAAAGAUUGUGUUAAACAGAAGAUGUUUGAUAAGGAAAACUCCAUUCAUGAAAGACAAGAGCCCUAUGAGGGAACCUAUUGAUAAUCUCACUCCUGAGGAAAGGGAUGCAAGGGCAGUUUUCUGUGUGCAAUUGGCAGCAAGAAGUCCACCAAGAGAUUUGGAAGAAUUGUUCUCUACAGUAGAAAAGGUUCGAGAUGUGAGGAUGAUUUCUGAUAGAAAUUCAAGAUGGUCAAAGGAAUUGCCUAUGUGGAAUUUGUUGAUGUCAGUUCAGUGCCUCUACCAAAUAGAUUAACUGGCCAAUGAGUUUUAGGAGUGACAAUCACAGUCCAGACAUCACAGCCAGAAAAAGACAUAGCUGCUGCAAUGGUAAACAAUUUUAAAAAAGGACCUAUGAGGCUCUACUUGGGCUCAUUAAACUUUAACAUAACUGAAGAAAUGAUUUAGGAAGAUCUUUGAACCUAUUGGAAGGAUUGAAAUUAUUCAGCUGCUGAUGGAUAAUGAAACUAGUUGAUCUAAGGGAUAUGGAUUUGUUGCAUUUUCUGACUAAGAAUGUGCCCAAAAGGCUUUGGAACCGUUUGAUGGUUCGAGUUAGCUGAGAGACCACUGAAAGUUGGUCCUAUUUUUGGAAAAACUGAUGCUUCUAGUGCUAGUUCAUUUUUGGACAGUGAUGAACUACAAAGGACUGGAGUUGACUUGGGAACAACUAGCCAUCUUCAGGUACUGGCAAGACUUGCAGAGGGUGCCUGAUUGCAGAUUCAACCUGCAGCACAAGUUUUACAAAUGAGUGGCUCUUUGGCAUUUGGUGCUGUUAGAUUUGCAACACCACUUUCAAGACAGACCAAAGCCUCAGAUUUUGCUGCAGCUCUCUGUUCAACCACUUGCAACAGUGUUUUCCACUUUCUAACAUGUUUAAUCCUCUAGAACAGAAGAAGAAGCUGGAUGGAAUACAGAGGCUAAUGCCAUUGGAGAGUGUAAUAAACACAGAGGAGUCAUAUUUAUGUUUACAAAAAUUCAGCCUAGGGCAAUGUUUAUGUGAAGUGCCCAUCUAUUGCUGUGGCUAUUACUCCUGUCCAUGCAUUGCAUGGCAGGUUGUUUGUGAUAAAA
RNAcentral lists this long non-coding RNA (1163 nucleotides) under Mus musculus (house mouse). RNAcentral describes it as "long non-coding RNA chr6:130567638-130568801". The record is from RNAcentral. Lineage: Eukaryota; Metazoa; Chordata; Mammalia; Rodentia; Muridae.